This 333-nucleotide unclassified non-coding RNA is filed under the name uncultured fungus. RNAcentral describes it as "partial contains 5.8S ribosomal RNA and internal transcribed spacer 2". The stretch from base 1 to 133 matches the Rfam family "5.8S ribosomal RNA", at positions 22 to 154 of the family's 154-position model. The record is from RNAcentral. Lineage: Eukaryota; Fungi.
UGGUUCCGGCAUCGAUGAAGAACGCAGCGAAAUGCGAUAACUAAUACGAAUUGCAGAAUUCAGUGAAUCAUCGAGUCUUUGAACGCACAUUGCGCCCGCGAGUAUUCUCGCAGGCAUGCCUGUCCGAGCGUUGUUAAGCCCACUCGAGCCCUGCUCGGCGUUGGGGCGCGCGGGUCCCUCAGCGGCCCGCGGCCCCGAAGGCUAGCGGCGGCGGCCCCGGAAGCCCUCUGCGUAGUGAAACCCUCGCACCGGGCGCCCUCGGCGCGCCAGCCCACCAACGGAGCCCUAGGCUCGCUCACGGUCAGCCUCGGAUCAGGUAGGGAUACCCGCUGA